This 327-nucleotide ribosomal RNA is filed under the name uncultured eukaryote. RNAcentral's name for it is "partial 18S ribosomal RNA". It matches the Rfam family "Eukaryotic small subunit ribosomal RNA", at positions 1470 to 1796 of the family's 1831-position model. The record is from RNAcentral.
CCCUUAGAUGUUCUGGGCCGCACGCGCGCUACACUGAUUCAUGCAACAAGUUUUGUCCUUGGCUGACAGGCCUGGGUAAUCUUUGAACGUGAAUCGUGAUGGGGAUAGAUGAUUGCAAUUAUUCAUCUUCAACGAGGAAUUCCUAGUAAACGCAAGUCAUCAGCUUGCAUUGAUUACGUCCCUGCCCUUUGUACACACCGCCCGUCGCACCUACCGAUUGAAUGGUCCGGUGAAAUCUUCGGAUCUGAGAGAUGUCUGAUUAAUUUCGGACGCCUUUUGGAAAAGUUGUUUAAACCUUACCAUUUAGAGGAAGGUGAAGUCGUAACA